UUGAACGCUGGCGGCAUGCUUUACACAUGCAAGUCGAACGGUAACAGGCCGCAGGGUGCUGACGAGUGGCGAACGGGUGAGUAAUGCAUCGGAACGUGCCCAGUCGUGGGGGAUAACUACUCGAAAGAGUAGCUAAUACCGCAUACGAUCUAUGGAUGAAAGCGGGGGACCGUAAGGCCUCGCGCGAUUGGAGCGGCCGAUGUCAGAUUAGGUAGUUGGUGGGGUAAAGGCUCACCAAGCCAACGAUCUGUAGCUGGUCUGAGAGGACGACCAGCCACACUGGGACUGAGACACGGCCCAGACUCCUACGGGAGGCAGCAGUGGGGAAUUUUGGACAAUGGGCGCAAGCCUGAUCCAGCAAUGCCGCGUGCAGGAAGAAGGCCUUCGGGUUGUAAACUGCUUUUGUACGGAACGAAACGGCUCUGGUUAAUACCCGGGGCUAAUGACGGUACCGUAAGAAUAAGCACCGGCUAACUACGUG
This 481-nucleotide ribosomal RNA is filed under the name uncultured bacterium. RNAcentral's name for it is "partial 16S ribosomal RNA". It matches the Rfam family "Bacterial small subunit ribosomal RNA", at positions 30 to 507 of the family's 1533-position model. The record is from RNAcentral.